AAAUUAUACGAAGGGACCCAACACAGAAAAUUCAUUUUAUUGAAUUUUACAUUUAUGUGCAAGUUGGGCAAAGUAUCUUAUUCUUUUAAAGUAUUUAAAAGUAAAAUUACAUGUUAAUACGUAGUAUUAAUGGCGAGACUCCUGAGGGAGCAGUGCCAGUCGAAGACAGGGGCCCCAACACAGAAGCUGACAUAUAGUCAGCUUACAGCAA
This 211-nucleotide small RNA is filed under the name Staphylococcus aureus. Its description in RNAcentral is "S. aureus tsr24 small RNA". It matches the Rfam family "S. aureus tsr24 small RNA", at positions 1 to 184 of the family's 238-position model. Lineage: Bacteria; Bacillati; Bacillota; Bacilli; Caryophanales; Staphylococcaceae. The record is from RNAcentral.